Molecule: ribosomal RNA, 429 nt
Filed under: bacterium
Lineage: Bacteria
Description: partial 16S ribosomal RNA
Rfam family: Bacterial small subunit ribosomal RNA
Source: RNAcentral
UAGGGAAUCUUCGGCAAUGGGGGCAACCCUGACCGAGCAACGCCGCGUGAGUGAAGAAGGUUUUCGGAUCGUAAAGCUCUGUUGUAAGAGAAGAACGUUUGUGAGAGUGGAAAGUUCACACAGUGACGGUAACUUACCAGAAAGGGACGGCUAACUACGUGCCAGCAGCCGCGGUAAUACGUAGGUCCCGAGCGUUUUCCGGAUUUAUUGGGCGUAAAGCGAGCGCCGGCGGUUUAAUAAGUCUGAAGUUAAAGGCAGUGGCUUAACCAUUGUUCGCUGUGGAAACUGUAAAGCUUGAGUGCAGAAGGGGAGAGUGGAAUUCCAUGUGUAGCGGUGAAAUGCGUAGAUAUAGGGAGGAACACCGGUGGCGAAAGCGGCUCUCUGGUCUGUAACUGACGCUGAGGCUCGAAAGCGUGGGGAGCAAACAGG